Molecule: long non-coding RNA, 741 nt
Filed under: Rattus norvegicus (Norway rat)
Lineage: Eukaryota; Metazoa; Chordata; Mammalia; Rodentia; Muridae
Description: long non-coding RNA NONRATT014646
Source: RNAcentral
GAAAGCACAAUGUCUGUGAGGCUAAUGCCAUAAAUUUCCAUCUGAAAGGAAAAAAGUAAGAAAGCUGAGUGUGGUGGUUUACACGUGUAAUCCCUAGCACUCAGGCAGCCAAACUAGAUUGACAGAUGGAAGACAGACAGACAGACAGACGGAGGGAGCUCCAGGCCAGGCUGGGCUAGAGAGUGAUUCCUCAUCCUCCCCUAAAACAAACAAUAAGAGGAACCAACAAGAAAGGAGAAAAGAAGAAGACAAAACACAACAGAGUUGUUCUCACAGCAUUUCCUGUCUCACUUUUGCUUUGUUAUGGACGGUGAGGGUUUGAGUUAGGGUUGUUUUGUGUUAGCAGACAAGGUCUUACUGAUGGCUACAGUAAACUGAUCCCUAAACUGGGGAUCCUUCUAUUCCAGUCUCCAGACUGCUAGGAUUAUAAGUAUCUACCACCAUGCCUAGCCUUUCUUUUCAAUUAAAGAUUCCAUUCCUGGAAGUGGAAGAGAUGAUUCAUCAGUUAAGAGCACUGGCUGCUCUUAUAGAAGACCCAGGUUUGGUUCCCAGCACUCAUAUGGCAGCUCACAACCAUUGUAACUCAGUUCCAGGGGAUCCAAUGCCCUCUUCCAGCUUCCCCAGGUGUGCAUAUAAUGUGAAUACAUACAUGCAGACAAAACACUCAUACACAUAAAGAAAUAAUUUAAAAUUUUAAAGGCUCCAUUGAAAUUGGAUUAAAAAAUAAACCCAUAUAAUUUU